Molecule: ribosomal RNA, 852 nt
Filed under: uncultured Flavobacteriaceae bacterium
Lineage: Bacteria; Pseudomonadati; Bacteroidota; Flavobacteriia; Flavobacteriales; Flavobacteriaceae
Description: bacterial SSU rRNA
Rfam family: Bacterial small subunit ribosomal RNA
Source: RNAcentral
AGCGGCAGGCCUAACACAUGCAAGUCGAGGGGUAACAGGAAGUGCUUGCACUUCGCUGACGACCGGCGCACGGGUGAGUACCGCGUAUACAAUCUGCCUCAUACUAGGGGAUAGCCCGAAGAAAUUUGGAUUAAUACCCUAUAGUAUCUUUUUAAGGCAUCUUAUUAAGAUUAAAGGUUACGGUAUGAGAUGAGUAUGCGUUCUAUUAGCUAGUAGGUGUGGUAACGGCACACCUAGGCUACGAUAGAUAGGGGCCCUGAGAGGGGGAUCCCCCACACUGGUACUGAGACACGGACCAGACUCCUACGGGAGGCAGCAGUGAGGAAUAUUGGACAAUGGGCGAAAGCCUGAUCCAGCCAUGCCGCGUGCAGGAUGACUGCCCUAUGGGUUGUAAACUGCUUUUAUAUAGGAAGAAAAACUUUCUCGUGAGAAAGCUUGACGGUACUAUAAGAAUAAGGAUCGGCUAACUCCGUGCCAGCAGCCGCGGUAAUACGGAGGAUCCAAGCGUUAUCCGGAAUCAUUGGGUUUAAAGGGUCCGUAGGUGGACAAAUAAGUCAGAGGUGAAAUCCUGCAGCUCAACUGUAGAACUGCCUUUGAUACUGUUUGUCUUGAGUUAUUAUGAAGUGGUUAGAAUGUGUAGUGUAGCGGUGAAAUGCAUAGAUAUUACACAGAAUACCGAUUGCGAAGGCAGAUCACUAAUAAUUAACUGACACUGAGGGACGAAAGCGUGGGUAGCGAACAGGAUUAGAUACCCUGGUAGUCCACGCCGUAAACGAUGGUCACUAGCUGUUUGGACUUCGGUCUGAGUGGCUAAGCGAAAGUGAUAAGUGACCCACCUGGGGAGUACGUCGC